RNAcentral lists this ribosomal RNA (465 nucleotides) under uncultured Klebsiella sp. RNAcentral describes it as "bacterial SSU rRNA". It matches the Rfam family "Bacterial small subunit ribosomal RNA", at positions 338 to 795 of the family's 1533-position model. Lineage: Bacteria; Pseudomonadati; Pseudomonadota; Gammaproteobacteria; Enterobacterales; Enterobacteriaceae. The record is from RNAcentral.
CCUACGGGAGGCAGCAGUGGGGAAUAUUGCACAAUGGGCGCAAGCCUGAUGCAGCCAUGCCGCGUGUGUGAAGAAGGCCUUCGGGUUGUAAAGCACUUUCAGCGGGGAGGAAGGCGGUGAGGUUAAUAACCUCAUCGAUUGACGUUACCCGCAGAAGAAGCACCGGCUAACUCCGUGCCAGUAGCCGCGGUAAUACGGAGGGUGCAAGCGUUAAUCGGAAUUACUGGGCGUAAAGCGCACGCAGGCGGUCUGUCAAGUCGGAUGUGAAAUCCCCGGGCUCAACCUGGGAACUGCAUUCGAAACUGGCAGGCUAGAGUCUUGUAGAGGGGGGUAGAAUUCCAGGUGUAGCGGUGAAAUGCGUAGAGAUCUGGAGGAAUACCGGUGGCGAAGGCGGCCCCCUGGACAAAGACUGACGCUCAGGUGCGAAAGCGUGGGGAGCAAACAGGAUUAGAUACCCUAGUAGUC